UUAAAGGCGAUGAUAGAAAUAAGUAGUUAUGAAAAUCAUAAAGAGAGCUGAUGGUUGGUGUAAAUCAGUUGAGGAACAUAAUGAAAUACAUUCUUGAGCUUUAGGCUGAACUUAAAUUUUAAUAGUAGGCUGAUACGGCACUUCUUACGUUACAAGAUAUGAGUGGAUUUUUUACAAAAUCAAUUUGGGUGGUACCACGGAAAAUUUCGUCCCUAGU
Molecule: non-coding RNA, 217 nt
Filed under: Clostridium argentinense
Lineage: Bacteria; Bacillati; Bacillota; Clostridia; Eubacteriales; Clostridiaceae
Description: T-box sequence
Rfam family: T-box leader
About the family: Uncharged tRNA acts as the effector for transcription antitermination of genes in the T-box leader family.
Source: RNAcentral